Molecule: ribosomal RNA, 435 nt
Filed under: uncultured bacterium
Lineage: Bacteria
Description: partial 16S ribosomal RNA
Rfam family: Bacterial small subunit ribosomal RNA
Source: RNAcentral
AACGAACGCUGGCGGCAGGCUUACCACAUGCAAGUCGAACGCAUGCCUUCGGGCAUGAGUGGCAGACGGGUGAGUAACGCGUGGGAACCUACCCCUUGGUACGGGAUAGCUCCGGGAAACUGGAGAUAAUACCGUAUGUGUCCUGAGGGACAAAGAUUCAUCGCCAAGGGAUGGGCCCGCGUCGGAUUAUCUAGUUGGUGGGGUAACGGCCUACCAAGGCGACGAUCCGUAGCUGGUCUAAGAGGAUGCUCAGCCACUUUGGGACUGAGACAAGGCCCAAACUCCUACGGGAGGCAGCAGUGGGGAAUAUUGGACAAUGGGCGCAAGCCUGAUCCAGCCAUGCCGCGUGAGUGAUGAAGUCCCUAGGGUUGUAAAUCUCUUUCACCGGUGACGAUAAUGACGGUAACCGGAGAAGAAGCCCCGGCUAACUUCGUG